Molecule: long non-coding RNA, 15968 nt
Filed under: Citrus sinensis (sweet orange)
Lineage: Eukaryota; Viridiplantae; Streptophyta; Magnoliopsida; Sapindales; Rutaceae
Description: long non-coding RNA (CSIN_LNC003019)
Source: RNAcentral
GACUUUCUUCCAGGAUGGCCUGUUGCUAAUAUCAUCCCACCAAGCACUCACAUGCUUUCUGUCUCUAAUCAUGUACUCCUUCUCCAUCGGCCCAACCAAGUAUUGAGUAAAUGGAAGGUGACUCAGAUCAGCCAGGCUGAAGAAAUCUCCUGCCAAAUACUUGCUCUUUGAGAGCCUCUCCUCGUAAACAUCAAGAACUUUUCCAAGUUUUUCUUCACUCUUCUUUACCAAUUUUUCAUCAACAGAAAGUCCCAACUUGGAGGCAAAUAAAAGUUGCACAGUCAUCUCGUAAAUUGGUGGGUGAUAGUUGUGUGCCUCUACCUCUAGCCAUUGCUCCACAAGGCCUCUUUCUUCAGUUGUUUUUCCCAGAAGUUCGGUUCCUUGAGACCUGUACUUUUCGGCGUAGUACCUUAUGAUAGCUCGAGAUUCUGUAAAUGAAUCAUUAACUUGAAAUGUUAAACUUAUAACUAGAAUACAAAACUAGUAAUUUUGAAAGCUUAAAUUUUCCUUUUAAUCUCUAGAGUUUGCUUGAUUUACUCUGUUACCUCUUUUAUCUUAAGAAGUUAUCCAAAAUGUUUGUGCAGUUACUUUUCAUAACUAUAUAUGGAUAUGAUUUUUCAAUAAUAGAAUAGAAUUUUUCUGACAUAAUAAUUUAAAAUAUAAACAAAAUUGGCGUGCAACUAGGGAUGACAAUUUUUCCCGAUGGGAUGGGAUCCUGCGGGAUCUCAUCCCAUUUAGGACGGGAUUCGGACAUAUUUUUGUACCAUAAAAAAAUUUAGGGACGGGUGUGAGACAUUUUUUUAUCCCAAUUACAUAUGCGGGACGGAAGUGGGAUUGACAAAUUCCGUCCCAUCCCGCCUCAUUGCUGAUUAAGAAUGGAAAGUUUUUUAAUUGGGAUGGGAUCCCGCAGGAUCUCAUCUCUUUGGGGAGGGGAUUUGAACAUAUUUUUGUCCUAAAAAAAAUAUAGGGACGAGACUGAGACAUUUUUUUAUCCCAUGUACAUAUACGGGACGGGACUGAAAUUGAUAAAUCUCAUCACAUCCCAUCUCAUUGCCAACCCUACAUGCAACCGACUUGAAGUAAAGAAUAAUCAAGUAAAGUUUAACGAAAACAAAAUUUUCAAUACCAUUUUGGAUAAUUUAAGAAAAAAAUCUCACAAACUAUCUGUUUAAUUAACUUAAAUCUAAAGACAUAAAAGUAUUUACUCUUAAUUAAAUUUUACAUUUCAAUUUGAAAGUGGAAGGAGUACCGUAUAACGUAAAAUCUCCAUCUUGAAUGACAGGCAGAGCACCGAAAGGCUGUAUAUAUAAUUUUGUCAGAAUUGAAAACAAAAGAGUAAUUAAUUAAUCGAAGCAUCGAGACACACGAUCAUCAAUUAAUGAAUGAAGUGAUUAGAUAAUGCAUACAUGCAUAAUAUAUUUAUAAAAAAAAAAUUGCUGAUUAAAUUAAUGAACCUGCAAUUUGAGGUACUCAGGAUUUCUAUGCUCUCCUUUGAUGAGAUCAACGGGAGCAGUUUCAAAUUCGAUUUGCUUCUCAAUCAAGCACACAAUCACUCGUUUGGGAGAAGCAUAAGCUGGACCAUACACCUUUACCACCAUUGUUGUUGCUUUUGCUAUUCUCUUUCUUAACUUUUUCUCUCAAUAAAAAGCAGUGAGUGAGUUUGUGAUGCUGGGCAGUUUGCUUAUCCCCUUUAUAUAGGCAAAUAUAGUGCCAAAGUGGGAUUUUUUCAUUAUAUAUUAAUUUACAGCCACUGGUAGGAAGUUAUGUCAAGGAAGGUCGUAGAUAAGCGCACGCCAUCAUGUGUAUUGUCCUAUCUUUCACGCAAGGAAAAAAAAAAUAAAUAAACUUACAAUUUCCAUAGAAAGACUCGCGUAAAGAAUUGACUUUUGAAAACAAAAAUUAAAUUGGAGGCACUUUCUUGAUGGAGUGACUGCUUCUAACACCCCAGUAAAAUACUGGACACACCCCAUCUGUAAUAACCCGGCCAAUUAAAAAAUAGACAUAAUUAACUCUUUCUAUAAACACUCUUUGUAAUUACAUAAAUAACUUGCCGAUGGCCGUGGCCGUGGCAGUGGCAAUGGUAGCGGCCGUGGUUAUGGCGAUGGAAGUGGUCGUGGGCGUGGCAGGGGUAGAUGUGGCAGGUGUGGACAUGGAUGAUUGCAAAUUGAUUAUAGAUUAAGUAGUCCCAAGAAACUAGGAGAUAAUUGCCUUAACCAAUUUCACAUUUUCGGGCUUUUCUUCAAUUCUCACUUUAAUACCCAUUUUUCAAGGAAAUUGUUCACGCCAGCAAGUUACGCCAGUAGGUAUCUUGACCUGCUUUUUGCAGUCUGUAUUUUGAAAUUUUGCCAUCCUCUCCCCUAAACCUGCUCCACGUUGCAUACCUCAAUUAGUCCAUUGUCUUUGCAGUUCAACCUGACAUCGGUUUCUACAUUUGAUUGCUUGAAUUAUGUGCUUCUUGUUCUUGCUCCUGGUUAAUUGGUUUUGCUCUUUAUAUAUGCUCGCUUCUACCCUUUUUUUUUAAGUUCAACGCUUCUCUGUUUUAUUUUCUUUCAAAUCACAACAUUAUGGAUCAGGUAGUCCCAAGAAACUAGUAGGCAGCAAACCAGCAACCGCAGGACUAGUAGGCGUAACACCAACAGCUGCCAAAUCAUAUUCUGGGCUUACCGUUGUUUUACAACUUUCUCAAUCAAAUCGUGGAGUCCUAUUAUGCAAACUAUGAGCACGGUCGACACUAUGACAAGUAUAUUCUGCCUUUUGUCCUAGGAAACAAUUAACAAAUAAUAGUUAUAAGGACUUUAGCUUCCAACUGUGGACAACCUGCCGGUGAUGGUGGCCGUGGAGAUGGUGAUAGUAGUGGCCGUGGUUAUGGCGAUGAAAGUGGUCGUGGGCGUGGCAGGGGUGAAUGUGGCAGGUGUGGAUAUUAAUGAUUGCAAAUUCAUUAUGGAUCAGGUAGUCCCCAAAAAACUAGGAGUCAUUUGCCUUCCUUAGCCAAUUUCACAUUUUCGCACUUUUCUUCAAUUCUCGCUUUAACACCCAUUUUUCCAGAAAAAAUUUUCACGCCAACAUGUAUCUUGACCUGCUUUAUGCAGUUUAUAUUUUGAAAUUUUGCCAUCCUAUACCCUAGCAUUAAUGGGUCAUCAACCACCUGCUCCAUAUUGCAUACCUCCAUUAGUCCAUUGUCUUUACAAUUCAAUCUGGCUCCGGUUUCUGCAUUCAGGUUGCUUGAACUUUGCGCUGGUUGUUCUUGCUCCUGGUUAAUCGGUUUUGCUGCUUUAUAUAUGCUCGCCUCUCUUUUUUUUUUUUUAACUUCACCACUUCUCCGUUUUAUUUUCUUUUUUUAACUUCACCACUUCUCCGUUUUAUUUUCUUUCAAAUCACAACAUUAUGGAUCAGGUAGUCCCAAGAAAUUAGGAGCCAGCAAACAAGUAACAGUAGGACUUGCAGCCGCAGCACCAGCAGCUUCCAAACCAGAUUCUGAGCUUACUGUUGUUUUGGGACUUUUUCAAUCAAAUCGUGGAGUUCUAUUAUGCAAAACAUGAGCACGGCAAUUAAGUCAUUGAGCUUUUGGCAAUUGUUUUGAACAUUAGCACGGGGUUGACUUCUGUACUUAUAUGCCACUUAAGCCACUCGAUUUUCAGUAUAUUUUGGAAUGCCUUAUAGGAGCUCCACAUAUUCUCAUAGUGAAUUCUAUUGAAAUUUCUUCUCUCAUACACAAGACUUCGUUGCCGUUCUCUAAUCAUAUUCGGAUAGUGAUCAAACUCCCAAUGGAUCAAGUUGAAAUUAGAUCAACAUGAAACUCAGCUCUUCAUUCUUGGUUGUAGAAAAAUCUAUCUAAUUUUUUCUCUAUGCAAUAUGGUCCAAGUUGUCUGUUAGACCAAGUAAACGGAUGACCUCUACUCUCCAAAUCAAUUAGCUUACAUUCUUUCACAGCAUCACUAAAUUCGGCAAUCACAUUGGCAUUUCUAUCCAAACCCCCAGUUUUCUUAUUUGAAUACAGGAUCUCAUUAAAGUCACUAAAACACAGCCAUGGGAGAGAGGACAAACCUGACAUUCUUCUCAAAAGAGUCCAGCUGUGCUUUUUUGUAUUUGAUUUAGGGUACCUAUACUCCUGUGCAUCUCCAAAAUUUCCCAUUCACGUGCUGAACAUGCAUGCCUAUGUGGUGUCUGUUGUAGGAUUUAAGUUGAAUAUCAAUAUCCUUACUCUAUAAUAAGGCAAAGCCACCAGUCUUUCCAACUUCAUCAGUAGCAAAAUAACUAUCUAGAAUCAUCGUUCUACACGCUUAUUUGACAUGCACAUUUGUCAAUUUGGUUUCAUAAAGAAACACCAGCUGAGACUUCUGCAAUUGGAGGAUUUUCUUCAAUGCUAGGCACGUUCGGGGAUUCCCCAAAUCUCAAACGUUCCAGCUUAUGAUUUUCAUGGCUGUCAGUGGGGUUGGUUUCCAGCCUCUGCCGCUACAUUCUCUGUAAACCUCCUUUGUCCAUAUUUCAAACUUCUUGUUUCUUCCACCCACAAAAGAUUAAAUUUUACUGGGGAAAGUUGAGUUUGCUUGGCUUGUGAAUCACCCAGGCUCCUCAUUUUAAUUUUUUUGCAUUCUGGGCUUGGUUUUAUUUAUUCUUCCACGGGCCGCUUGAGUGAAAUUAGCCCAACAUUUCCGGCCCGUGUAAUUACUCUUUCCCUUACUUCCAAUUUCCAUUUCUUGAUUUCUUCCUCUUAUCUUUCACAAAUGUGCAUAUCCCAGCUACUUCUGUUUCAGUAUGCUUUUGUAUUUGGUCCAUAUUGUCUCUCAGUAGGGGUGGGCAUGCGUUGGUUUGGAUUGGGUUUUAAGACAAUCCAAAUUAAACCAUAAAAGUUUGGUUCAACUCAAACCAAUUCAAAUGUUUUCAACCCAACCCAAACCAAUCCAUUUGGGUUUGGUUUGAAAUUUAUUAUCAAAAUAAUUUUUAUUUUGAUAAAUUUAAUUAUAUAAAAAUUAUAAUAAUUAUUAAUUGUUAUUAAUUAUUUUUUUAAUUCAAUUUUUAUUAAUGAUUAAAUUCAUACUAAAAUAUGAAAAAAAUAUAGUGGAUAAAAAUUACAAAUAAUAAAUUUUACAAUAACUUAAUCCUUAAAUUAAAGAAUACUAGAAAAUUAAAAUAAAGUUUAAUCACAAAAAUCAUUAAUUCUCAAUAAAUAAGAACGUAAACUCUAAUAAUAAACUUCCACAAACAUGACAUCAACAGGUAAAUUCAAAGAAAGAAAAUAAAAAAAAAACUUAUGUGAGUGCCAUUUAGUUAAAAUAAUAAAAUUUCUAUGUAUCCUUUGACUUAUAAUUAUUGAGAUGAUAAUUUUCUAUCAAAUGGUGUUUUUUUUUUUCAAUAGGUUGAUUGCUCAUAAAUUUCAGGAUGGAGGAUCAUUGUCAAUAAAUCCCAUCAAAAUAAAAAAAUGGAGUAUUAUUUAUGCUACAGUAUCAAUAUAGCACACAAAAUGUUAAUUUUAUUUAUAAUAAGGCUUUAUAAUUUCUAACAUAAUAAUAUUUUAUCAAUGGCGAAAUAUCAUUUCUCAUAAUUAUUAAUUAUUUCCUUCCAAUGGCUAGGUAACUAUGCCCUCAAAAACCAUCUCAACAUUAUUACUAUAAUUUUUCUUGAUUUAAAUACAAAAACAACAAUAUAGAUUUGGUGUUUUUCUUAUUACUGUUAGAAACAUAAAAGCGGUAAUUACGUAAGUAUAAUAUGAGUUCAUAAAUUGAAAAAAAAAAUGAUUUCAUUUCAUCAAACCCUAAUUUCAUCUCAUUUAAUUAUUUACAGUAGCAUUUAUUUAAUUUAGAUUUGUUUUUACAUAUUGUUUUCCUUUUCUAACUGUUAACAAUUGAUCACGUCGUGAACAAUUUAAUAAUGACCUUUCACUUAUUUGUUUUUGUUUUCAUUUAUUUCAUUUGACAAGUUUGAGUAUUGUGGUUUUGUUCAUGACCCAUGGGUAAACUAUACCCAACCCAUAAUAAAAUGAUUUUUUAUAUAAAAUCCAUAUUUAAUCCAUUUUCAUACUUUACUCAACCCAAACCAUUUAAUUUGGUUUGGAUUUGGUUAAACCCAUGGAUUGUGGGUUUAUGCCCAGCCCUAUCUCUCAGCAUAUUUAGGCCCAUUGAGCCCAUAUUCUUUUUUUCAAUCUCCAAUGCAUUUUCCCACUUAUUCUUUUCACUGUUUCCCGCUAAAUUGCUCAUUUUUAUAGACAUUAGCUCCCCAUCAGCUAUCUCUGUAGCAUUGCUAUAGUUUAUAGUAUGUUGUUUAUUAUCCCCUCCAUGCUUCAUUAAUGAGCCUGCAGUUAAUCCUUCCACGUGGAUGAUCUUUGUUGGCUUUGUGCUGAUCCCAUUGUGAGAUUGGGUUGCCCCAGAUCCAUCUCUCACACAUUGCUUACCCUGGCCCGUUUUUUAUUGAAUUCGUUCUUCUUGUUAUUGGUUUUCCAAUGCUGACUAUGACGCUCUUUGCUUCCUAUUCCAAAGUUCUUAAUCGUUCUCUGCUUGGCUCUUUCCUCUCUUGUCAGUGCUUUCAUCCAUGCUCCAUAUGUUAACUAUCUUUUGGCUACCCUUUUUACUCAAGACACUCCUUACAUUGAUGCUAAAUUAGCCCACAAUAGAAGCAAAAGUCAGGCAAUUUUUCAUAAGCGAUUCAAUAAAAAUCCUCUCACUAUCUUCUAGUUUUAACAACAACCUUUUUUCAGUGAUUGUGUUACAUCUAUCGAGAUUCUUAGGCGAGAAAAAUGAGCCAAAACAUUCCCCUGUUUCAUCCAUUUCCACCUCCUCAACCUUACCAAUCUUUUUUCCUAUAUCCCUCAUUAUGUCUUUAUCCAUUCACAUAAUAGGUGCAUUGUGAAUUUGCACCCAAAAUGAUGUAUGGUUGAAAGCCUGCUGCUUAAUGUUACCCACAUUGGAUGGUUCUAUGAGCACCAUUAGCAGGUUGUUGAAGUGCCAUGCUCCUCCAUGCAAUAUCCUCUUUUUUUUGCUUUCUGAGGCAAAUUUAAAGAUGAAGACGUUUUCACCUAGACUCUCCACUUUCAAUUCCUUUAUUGAUCUCCAUACUUGUUGGAUCGUUGCUCUAAGCCCUUCACGGGAGACUCCACGUGUAUGAAAUAUUUUUCCAACGAGACAAUGUGCUGCAACUUUCUGUCCUUUAGCUUUCAUUCUUCCCCCAAAGUUGAUCAUAUUGUCUUCUUCUGAUUUUACGCUUAUGGCUUCACGUUUACGUAUGAAUUCAUCAGCGUCCAUCUCUCCUUUUAAAGCAGAUCAGUUGAACUAAAAAACUCACCAACUUCUCACCAACCCUUUUAACUAUAUUGAUUCCCCUUACCAUGUUUAAUACUCUUACCAAUUUCCCCCUUCCAGUUUUUUUUUAAUGUUUUCCACCCACCCUGCGAGUGACACUCCGCCACUCAACCCGUGAGUGAGUGACAAAUUUGGAUCACCAAGGAUCCUUUACUUCAUCAAUUCUAGGCUCUCUUUGAGAGAGAACUGUCUAGAAGGAUACUUUUUUCCUUUAUUUUCAGUAACUUAAUGAAUAUUUAGUAUUGCUUUGGCAUGUGAGAUUGUUGGAUUUUUAGAAUUUGGAGAAUUGCUAUUGACUUCUAAUUCUCGGCAGCUUUUCUUUGAAACAUUGAUUAAUUUUGAAUGGUUUUCAAUUGAUGGGAAUUCUGGGAUUUGUUUGCAGCUUGCGAUUUGGGGAUUUGCUAUUCACGUGAUUGGGGGGUUGCUUUCACAUUUGUCCUUUUUUGUUUCCUCUAAUUACUUUUAUUUUAGCUUUCACAUUAAUGUUAGUGAAGAAUGUAAAAGGACUUUUUAAUUCAAUUUUUAUUAAUGAUUAAAUUCAUACUAAAAUAUGAAAAAAAUAUAGUGGAUAAAAAUUACAAAUAAUAAAUUUUACAAUAACUUAAUCCUUAAAUUAAAGAAUACUAGAAAAUUAAAAUAAAGUUUAAUCACAAAAAUCAUUAAUUCUCAAUAAAUAAGAACGUAAACUCUAAUAAUAAACUUCCACAAACAUGACAUCAACAGGUAAAUUCAAAGAAAGAAAAUAAAAAAAAAACUUAUGUGAGUGCCAUUUAGUUAAAAUAAUAAAAUUUCUAUGUAUCCUUUGACUUAUAAUUAUUGAGAUGAUAAUUUUCUAUCAAAUGGUGUUUUUUUUUUUCAAUAGGUUGAUUGCUCAUAAAUUUCAGGAUGGAGGAUCAUUGUCAAUAAAUCCCAUCAAAAUAAAAAAAUGGAGUAUUAUUUAUGCUACAGUAUCAAUAUAGCACACAAAAUGUUAAUUUUAUUUAUAAUAAGGCUUUAUAAUUUCUAACAUAAUAAUAUUUUAUCAAUGGCGAAAUAUCAUUUCUCAUAAUUAUUAAUUAUUUCCUUCCAAUGGCUAGGUAACUAUGCCCUCAAAAACCAUCUCAACAUUAUUACUAUAAUUUUUCUUGAUUUAAAUACAAAAACAACAAUAUAGAUUUGGUGUUUUUCUUAUUACUGUUAGAAACAUAAAAGCGGUAAUUACGUAAGUAUAAUAUGAGUUCAUAAAUUGAAAAAAAAAAUGAUUUCAUUUCAUCAAACCCUAAUUUCAUCUCAUUUAAUUAUUUACAGUAGCAUUUAUUUAAUUUAGAUUUGUUUUUACAUAUUGUUUUCCUUUUCUAACUGUUAACAAUUGAUCACGUCGUGAACAAUUUAAUAAUGACCUUUCACUUAUUUGUUUUUGUUUUCAUUUAUUUCAUUUGACAAGUUUGAGUAUUGUGGUUUUGUUCAUGACCCAUGGGUAAACUAUACCCAACCCAUAAUAAAAUGAUUUUUUAUAUAAAAUCCAUAUUUAAUCCAUUUUCAUACUUUACUCAACCCAAACCAUUUAAUUUGGUUUGGAUUUGGUUAAACCCAUGGAUUGUGGGUUUAUGCCCAGCCCUAUCUCUCAGCAUAUUUAGGCCCAUUGAGCCCAUAUUCUUUUUUUCAAUCUCCAAUGCAUUUUCCCACUUAUUCUUUUCACUGUUUCCCGCUAAAUUGCUCAUUUUUAUAGACAUUAGCUCCCCAUCAGCUAUCUCUGUAGCAUUGCUAUAGUUUAUAGUAUGUUGUUUAUUAUCCCCUCCAUGCUUCAUUAAUGAGCCUGCAGUUAAUCCUUCCACGUGGAUGAUCUUUGUUGGCUUUGUGCUGAUCCCAUUGUGAGAUUGGGUUGCCCCAGAUCCAUCUCUCACACAUUGCUUACCCUGGCCCGUUUUUUAUUGAAUUCGUUCUUCUUGUUAUUGGUUUUCCAAUGCUGACUAUGACGCUCUUUGCUUCCUAUUCCAAAGUUCUUAAUCGUUCUCUGCUUGGCUCUUUCCUCUCUUGUCAGUGCUUUCAUCCAUGCUCCAUAUGUUAACUAUCUUUUGGCUACCCUUUUUACUCAAGACACUCCUUACAUUGAUGCUAAAUUAGCCCACAAUAGAAGCAAAAGUCAGGCAAUUUUUCAUAAGCGAUUCAAUAAAAAUCCUCUCACUAUCUUCUAGUUUUAACAACAACCUUUUUUCAGUGAUUGUGUUACAUCUAUCGAGAUUCUUAGGCGAGAAAAAUGAGCCAAAACAUUCCCCUGUUUCAUCCAUUUCCACCUCCUCAACCUUACCAAUCUUUUUUCCUAUAUCCCUCAUUAUGUCUUUAUCCAUUCACAUAAUAGGUGCAUUGUGAAUUUGCACCCAAAAUGAUGUAUGGUUGAAAGCCUGCUGCUUAAUGUUACCCACAUUGGAUGGUUCUAUGAGCACCAUUAGCAGGUUGUUGAAGUGCCAUGCUCCUCCAUGCAAUAUCCUCUUUUUUUUGCUUUCUGAGGCAAAUUUAAAGAUGAAGACGUUUUCACCUAGACUCUCCACUUUCAAUUCCUUUAUUGAUCUCCAUACUUGUUGGAUCGUUGCUCUAAGCCCUUCACGGGAGACUCCACGUGUAUGAAAUAUUUUUCCAACGAGACAAUGUGCUGCAACUUUCUGUCCUUUAGCUUUCAUUCUUCCCCCAAAGUUGAUCAUAUUGUCUUCUUCUGAUUUUACGCUUAUGGCUUCACGUUUACGUAUGAAUUCAUCAGCGUCCAUCUCUCCUUUUAAAGCAGAUCAGUUGAACUAAAAAACUCACCAACUUCUCACCAACCCUUUUAACUAUAUUGAUUCCCCUUACCAUGUUUAAUACUCUUACCAAUUUCCCCCUUCCAGUUUUUUUUUAAUGUUUUCCACCCACCCUGCGAGUGACACUCCGCCACUCAACCCGUGAGUGAGUGACAAAUUUGGAUCACCAAGGAUCCUUUACUUCAUCAAUUCUAGGCUCUCUUUGAGAGAGAACUGUCUAGAAGGAUACUUUUUUCCUUUAUUUUCAGUAACUUAAUGAAUAUUUAGUAUUGCUUUGGCAUGUGAGAUUGUUGGAUUUUUAGAAUUUGGAGAAUUGCUAUUGACUUCUAAUUCUCGGCAGCUUUUCUUUGAAACAUUGAUUAAUUUUGAAUGGUUUUCAAUUGAUGGGAAUUCUGGGAUUUGUUUGCAGCUUGCGAUUUGGGGAUUUGCUAUUCACGUGAUUGGGGGGUUGCUUUCACAUUUGUCCUUUUUUGUUUCCUCUAAUUACUUUUAUUUUAGCUUUCACAUUAAUGUUAGUGAAGAAUGUAAAAGGACCCUAUUAUCCUAUAACAUAUUAAGUUCAUGCAUCAAGUGAGUGCCGGGUGAAGUUAGUAUUUUCACAUCUAAUUUUUCAUAAAAUUCCCAAAACUUUUCUAAAUUUUUGCAAGUGCCGAGACACCCUCUAGUCUUAUGCAAACUCCACCCGUAGUUAAGAAAUUGUGGGUAACUUGUGCGUGUAAAAUGCUCAGAUUGAUUACACUCUUUUACCCCGGCAAAGCAGCAUUUUUAGAGGACAUGUCGAUAUCAUUACUACCCAAAAAAAAUACAAGACCUCUUCUAUUUGAAUAAAUAAACAACUUGCAAUAAAGUAAAAGACACUGUCUAACCCAUUUUUUUUUUUUAAAAAAAAAAGCAGUAUAAAAAAAAAAAAGACUCAAGCCUAAAAACAAAAGGUCCAACUCCAAACAUUUAUUUAUUGAAACACAUAUGCAAGAUACAUAUCCCACAGACAGAAACAAACCAAGUAGUAGAGAAGUAAAACACAAGCCCGAAAAUUGAAACACAUACAAUCAAGCUCAGCCGAAAGGAGUCUUACAAAGUUCAAGGACUUUCUUCCAGGACGGCCUGUUGCUAAUAUCAUCCCACCAAGCACUCACAUGCUUCCUGUCUCUAAUCAUAUGCUGUCUCCCCAUCGGCCCAACCAAGUAGUGGGUAAAUGGAAUGUGACUCAGAUCAGCCAGGCUGAAGAAAUCACCAGCCAAAUACUUGCUCUUUGAGAGCCUCUCCUCGUAAACGUCGAGCGUUUUUCCAAGCUUUUCGUCACUCUCCUUCACCAAUUUUUCAUCAACGGGACGUCCAAACUUGGAAGAAAAUAAAAGUUGGAUGGUCAGCUCGUAAAUUGCUGGGUUGUAGUUGUGUGCCUCUACUUCUAGCCACUGUUCCACCAGGCCUCUUUCUUCAAUUGUUUUACCCAGAAGUUCGGUUCCUUGAGACCUGUACUUUUCGGCAUAGUACCUCAUGAUAGCUCGCGACUCUGCAAAUGAAUCAUAACCUUGGAACGUUAAACCUAUACCUAGAAUUUAAAACUUGUACCGUUGAAAGUCACUUAUGCCAUGUUUAAGCUCAUAAUUAAUUAGAAAAACUAAAGCAUAAGUAAACAAAUAUUAACAGAAACAUAUCUACCAAUACAAUUUUUAGCUAAUUUUAAAAAAUCACAAACUACCCAAGUAAUCAACUCAAAUCUAAAUCUGAAGACUUGAAAAAGUAUUUACCGUAUAAAAUAAAAUCUCCAUCUUGAAUGACAGGAAGCUCUCCAAAAGGCUGCAUUAUUUUGUUAGAAUUAAAAGCAUAAGAGUCAAUUAAUCAAUUAAUCAAUCAAAACACGAACAUCAAUACACACGAUCUUCGAUUAAUGAAGUAAUUAAAUUAAAUUAAUGAACCUGUAAUUUGAGGUACUCAGGACUUCUCUGCUCUCCUUUGAUGAGAUCAACGGGGACAGUUUCAAAUUCGAUUUCCUUCUCAACCAAGCACAAAAUCACUCGUUUGGGAGAAGCAUAAGCCGGACCGUACACCUUGACCACCAUCGUUGCUGGUGUUAACUUUUUCUGUCGAUAAAAAGCAGCUAUUGAGCUUGUGAUCGUAAUCUACGGGCAGUUUGCUAAUCCCUUUUAUAUAGGCUAAUAUAGUGGCGCCAUAGUGGGAUUUUUCUCUAUUUUUUAAUUACAUAUUAAUUUGCAGCCACCGAUAGGAAUCAAAGUUAUGUCAAGAUAGGCGGCCCAAUCUCGGGCAACUUAGAAGUCAGGAACCCAUUUCAUAUUAUUCUAGUUUUGACUCUAAAGGCCUCACAUGGCCUUGAGUCGGUCUCGGUCUUAGGUCAGCACAUACCAUCAUGUGUACAGUGCAUUGUCUUAUGGUUCAUAAAAAGACAGAAAGAAAAUGAACGUGGUCUCUUUUGCAUUUAGUGUACAAACGUCGCUGUGGUAACUUGACCAUAUUUUUUUGUCUUAUGGAAGGCGACCAUAACCAUUGGAUUUCGGAAGUAGGACACGCAGGCAUUGCAGAAGACCUGAUUGUCCCGUAAACAAAAGGUAAAUUGAAGGGAACAACUUGUGGCGGGGGAUUCCAUUGGUUGAUUUAUAUUACAGGCAGAGGCUUGGUUUAAAGCCUCACCAUAUGAGUGGUUUUAUUAAAAAAUGAAAAAAUUUAUAGCGGGAAUUCCACCUAACAUUAAGGAAAACGAGAGAUUAGUCAUUGUCAGAUUAAACUCAAAUUAUUUGAUUUGAUCACCUAGCAUAAAUGAUCGAUGUUAAUUUAGAAGGUCGGCACAUUUGUGAGACCAUGCAAUGUAAUUGAAAUAUGGUUACUCCGACAAGAGGUGUAAGGCAAAACAUAUAUAGUUUAUUGUACUUGUGAUUAUCACAAGUUAAUUAGACGUAGCCAUACUUCCCAUUUUACAUUUUGCAAGUUAAUAAACAAUGAUAAUUUAAAAAUUAUUAUUGAAACAAAAAUUCGAGGCAUUUCCAUGAGCAUUCUCACUCAUUUCAUAUUCCGAAGAAUUCUUGAGUGCAGACUUCGGCAUAGAUUUUGAUUUUCGUCAAAGAUGAAAAGUAUAUGAAUCCAUUUGCAAUUAAAAACUGAAAAUCUAAUGUGAAGAGAAUAAUAAUGCAUUUGUCUUCUAGAAAGUCUGUCCACCAGAGUAUUGGCCCAUCUUACGCAUGAUGGAGUCCAGAAGCCACCAUUAGGGUAUUUCCCUUGGUAACUCUUCCCCUCAUCUUACUGUAGACCAAAACGCAAACCUAUCAAGGACAAAACUUUAUCCAAUUAAAAUCCAUUCUUUUUAGCGAGAAAUUUUAAAAUACACUAGAAAUAUCACGUAUUCAUGUUAACAAUAUAAUAAAUAAAUGAUCUUAUGAUAUAUACACAUUUAUUUUUAAAAAAAUCACUCUAUAAGUGAUUGUUAAAAAGACUAAACUUAUUUCAUUGAAAAUGAUCAUGGAAAAUUUACCUAUCUAGUUAUUUUUUUAAAAUAAUUAUCUCUUUAUAUAUAUAUAUAUAUCCAUUUUGGGCCAAAUUAUCCAUAAAACAAACCAAACAGAUCUUAAUUCGCAAGCACAACAUCACCCACAUCGCCCCCAUCUCUUUCUGCGGUUUUGCUAGCUUCUACAGCAACUUCUUUUGACAGUCACAGCUUCCAUCGAAAGCAGCAUACUUCCUUCGACCCUUCUAUGGUUUUGGUCAACUGCAUUUCACAGUUUUGAUCGGAUUUACUUCACAGUUUUGCUUGGCUUCACCUCAAGGUGUUGUUAUAUUUUGAUGAAGAGUAGAAAUCCAUAUUAUACUAAGAUUAGUUUCCUUAUUAACUAAAGUUUAAGACUUUUUAAUUUCUUUAUAAUUUAGAAUUUUAUUUCCCUUUCAAUUUAGAAUUUUGAGUUUAAUAAUAUUUCAAUUUUCAAAUCUCUUUGUGAGUAUUUGAACAGUUAAUUCUCGGUAUUCUGCGGAAUCAACGAGUUUUAAACCCUAAAUUCGCGGUAUUCUUUUGAAUCAAUGUGAAUUUAGUUGUUCUUUUGUCCGGUAUUCUCUAGAAUCAACGAAAUAUUUUGAACAUUAAAUUUCCGCUGCAUCAGUUUGGUAUCAGAGCCAAAACCUGAUAUCACCAAUCUAACUCCAUCUACCACCAAACAGAGGCGGAUGCAGCACAUGACUAGUGAGGGCUCAAGCCCCCACUGGCCAAAAAAAAAUUUAAAAAAUAAAAGAAAAAAUAUUUUAAUUUUUAAUUAGUCCCAUUAAAUUUAUUAAAAUAGUCACUAUAAAAUGUAAAACCCAUAAAAUUUAAACUUUGACUUUUAAAAAAUAUAAAAACAUAUAUUUUAAUUAAAAAUAAUGAUAGCCCACUAUUCAAAAUAUUUUAUAUUCUAAAAAAUAUGGUUAAUUCUUCCAGUUUAUAUAAUAAUAGUAGAACGAAUAUUUUCAGUAAUAAAACUCAUGAAGGAUCAUCUUUGGAAUCAAAUGGGAUAAGUGAUAGUUUGGUUGUCUAUAUAACAAACAAUAAAUUUAAUAAUAUUCAUAAUGAGUCUAUUGCAUAAAAUUUUUAAAAUAUAAAAAUGCGUAGAGACUAAUUAUAAAUAUUUUAUAUAUUCAAAAUUUUAAUUUUUUAUAUUUUACUAUUAUCUAAUUUAGCCCCCGGUAAAUUAUUUUUUUAGAUCUGCCACUGCCACCAAACCUUUCCUUUUUUCCUUCUUUGAUUUUUUCCGUUUAGUUAAAAAAAAAAAAUUGAAACAGAACAGAAACAAAACCUUCAGCCCGCGGCCACUGUCCAAGGUUGCCGGCUCUCUUUUUCCGUCACCGAUCCGGACGCAACCACCACUAAACGGAUCAUAAAUCGUCGGCCAUCAAACCCCAAGCAUCUUCCAUUGUCGGUUAGCCACAGAUCGCCAGAAGACAAAGCCAAAACAACCGCGAUCGCCGGAAGACAAAGCCAAAACAGCCGCGAUCGCCGCCACCUCCGUUCACCACUUUCCAGCAUGAUUUGGCCAGAAGCACCACCAUCAAUCCAUUCCUCUCCAUCAACUGAACCUUUCCCACCAUUCCUCACUAUCGAUCGACGCUUAAAUCGCCGGAAACCGAAGCCCUCCAAAACAGCCGGCUUUAUCUAGAAUUUCUGGCCAAAACACCACUUUUUCGGACAAACCACCACCACCACCAUACUUACCAACCCAAAAUCUUUCAGAUCCACCCAUCCUUACUCGAUUUUCGACCACCGUCAUCGGAAAUCUAAAACUUUUGCUUAAUUAUAGUUUCGACCUAAAAUUUUUAUUUACUUUCAGUUUAGCCCUACUACCUUUUUAAAUCCGAAUUUGAAAAAAUGCCUCCAAGAAAAGCUCGCGAUGCUCAUACUGCAACUUACAAUCAAAAAGAUGUUUCUAAAGAUGAAGCUCUGGCUAGUAUGACAGUCAUAAUUGAUAUGUUAGCUCCACAAAUGGCACGAAUGGCAGAGUUACUUGACGAACGCCAUCGUACUCCAGAACGUGAAGACAAAUCAAGUGGAAGCUUUGCUAACCCAUUCUCUGGGCGUCGACCUAGAACUGAGUCUACUGAUGACAGAAGAUGGGAAUCUGGGUUGAGAAUUGACAUUCCUGAAUUUUAAGGAAGUGGUCGACCUGAAGAAUUAUUGGAUUGGAUUAAUGCCAUUGAGGAAGUUUUCAAAUACAAAGAAAUUCCUGAAAAUAAACUAGUUUCGCUUGCUGCAACUCGAUUUCGUGGAAGAGCAGCAGCUUGGUGGCAACAAACUAAGCUCACAAGGAUUAGGCAAGGCAAAAAGAAGAUUGAUUCUUGGGAAAAGUUCAAGAAGCACUUGCGUGGAGCAUUCUUGCCUCAUAAUUACGCCAAACUGUUAUACCAACAGCUACAGAAUUUAAGGCAAGGUAAU